This 114-nucleotide small nucleolar RNA is filed under the name Erinaceus europaeus (western European hedgehog). Its description in RNAcentral is "Small nucleolar RNA SNORA32 (ENSEEUG00000023605.1)". The record is from RNAcentral. Lineage: Eukaryota; Metazoa; Chordata; Mammalia; Eulipotyphla; Erinaceidae.
AGGUCUUUACUAAAGCUUUUAAAAUUUGUUGUAGGUGUGACCUUUAGAAAAAAAAAUACCCACUAGGUUUGCUUUCAGGUGCAUUAGUAGUUAAACAGCUUUGUGGGAAUAUUU